RNAcentral lists this ribosomal RNA (116 nucleotides) under Pteropus alecto (black flying fox). Lineage: Eukaryota; Metazoa; Chordata; Mammalia; Chiroptera; Pteropodidae. The record is from RNAcentral.
GUCUACGCCCAUGCCACCCUGAAUAAACCUGAUCUCGUCUGACCUUGUAAGCUAAGCAGGGUCGGGCCUGGUUAGUACUUAGAUGGGAGUACUAGGAAGACCAGGUGCUGUAGGCA